CGAGGAGCAGCACGCAGCGUCGCGCGCACGUCCAUGCGACUCUGCUCAGUCUCUCUCCCCCUCGCCCCACACCUUCUGCCUGAUCACACGCAUUCAUUCUCAGUCGCUGGCCGCGAGUCUUGCAGCAUACAGAAACACUGACAAAAAAAAUAAGAAACGGUAGCACGCACGUUGCGGGUAGUCUCAGCCACGCACACACACACACGCACACGUGCGCGCCCUCUCCUCCUCCCUCUCCGACUUGCUUUCCUCCAGUCCACGUUGCUGGUUUGACUGUUGCCGCUGCAUGCGUUGGGCGAAGGUGGCCGCCACCGCGUCUCUGGAGCAUUCACCUGCAGCUGAGCUGCUGCUGUUGUUGUCGACGCGUUCGCACGGGUUGCAGCCGCUGCUCUUCCCACUUAUUCUAUCGGUCUCCCCCUCCCCCCAACCACCACCACCACCCCUCUUCCUCGCUUUCUUGUGCGCCUGCGGGGCUCUCUGAGUGGCGGAGUCUGCUUUGGCAGGGCUGUCUCUGUGCGCGCUCGGAGGCGGAGCAGCGGUCAGCACUUGGCGGAAGCGGCAUCGGGUCCUUCUCUUCCCCAACUCAGCUGUCAAAGAGAAGGAAAAGGGGAGGUGGCGCCGUUGUCCUCGUUGCCCGUCGCUCUCCUCCUCGUGUGUGGGCGUGCAGGUGGCCUUUGAGGACUGUGCGUGCACCAACGAAGUACACGCGCAUCCCUUCACGCGAUCUCCAGUUGUCUUUGGCGCUACGCACCACUGUCACCUUCCUCCCCCUAGCGAAGCAUGAACAACGAGGUGAAGCCCUCUGAUCACGAGUCCUCGUCAGCAGCGCCUUCAGCUCAUGCUGCUGAGUGCCAGAACGGCAAUACCAACGGUAGCGAGGUUUCCUCGAGCUCGAGCUCGAGCUUCGCCCUUGAGCAUGUACUGGACGAGAAUGACAGCGAACUCUUCUCGGCUGCGGAUGUACCCUCGGCGAAUCCUUCCGUCCUCGAUCCUCAUGCCGGUGGUCCACACGGACGUAACAGCCCACCUAGGAAAGCGUUCGCGCGGGCAUUAAGGUCAUGCAGAGGGCGGGCCACCGUAGUGGAAAUCGAAAACGCCGUGCCGUCCGUACCAGCCGCGCCUGUGCAGCUGGCGCAGCAAUCCUUUCAACGCUGCGAUAGCGGUGCUCAUCCGCCGGCAAAAGCAGUUGCUUCAGGCUCCCCAGCCCAGUCGCCUCAGCAACUCAUCGACUGGUAUACACGCUCCUACGACAGCGGCGUCGAGGCGACAUACCACUACGUGGUGGCACUCAUAAACCUCGGCUCUGGUGAGACGGGCGUGGGGGAAGUAGUGCUCGGCGCCUUGCGCGACGAGCUUGGCACGAAGCGUGUCAUGACCCUGCGCGGGGAGGUGUUCAUGAACCCCGCCCCGCUACGUCUUCUCAUCAAGCGGCAGGCCGUCAUCUAUCACACCCUUGGCCGACCACCGUGUCAGCAGCGCGGCACCGUCGUUGUGUGCGGCGGCGACGGCACCGUGUCGUUUAUCAUGACACAACUGGAUCUCGUGCGCCGCGAGCUAGAGGACGAGUUUCAGCCCUUCCUCACCGCGUCUCAGGUGCAGCAGGUGCAGCUGCACCGUGAGAACUCUGCCUUCGUCACGUCCAGCUUGCGCGAUAAGCUGGUGCAUCCGUACUUCACGAUGCCUGCCCUCGCACCGCUCCCACUCGGUACUGGAAACGACUACAGCAACUGUGUGGGCUUCGGCUAUGCCUUUGCAUCCAGUAGGAGCGACUGGCGUAGAUUUUGCGCCCUUUGCGGAUGCGGCGUCGACGCCGGCGCGCAGGUGGCCACGGCCUUGUGUGAUGCCGUGACAGCCCCGUGCGUGGGCUUCGACCGGUGGGAGGCCUCGCUGGUGCCGCUGCGAGUGGCGCAAGCAGCGGUGCGGUCCGAGUCGUCGCAAGCAGCGGCUGAGGCGACACAGGGGGCAGCCCCGAACGCGCCCUCCAAGGUCAGGGUCGCGCCCUCGGAGCAUGCCGCUGCCUCCGCAGGCGCCCGGGCCCUGCACUCGCCGCUGUGGAACCGCGCCGCUCGGCCCACAAACGUGGCAAACGCGGUGUGCCUUGUCGACUGGGCCAAAGUGCACGCGAGCGGGCAGUGCGCCACGUACGGAGUCAUCAACUACCUGGGCGUGGGCUUCGACGCCUACGUGGUGAAGAAAUUUGACGAUACCCGCCGCGCGCACCCGACGGUGUGCCGUACUCGCGCGCAGAACAAGGCCGUGUACGGGGUGAUGGGGAUCAGGGCCUCGCUCAGGUGCAAAAAGCUGUACAAGAUCAUACCAAUGGUCUGCGUGCCGCGUCCGCAGCUGAGCGGGGUUGGCGUCGCUGCCGCUGCGACGAGAAGUAUGGGUAGCACACGCGACUUUGUGGCACUGCAGCUGCCCUCCACGGCGAAGGCGUUGGUGCUGACGAACGUGAACUGUUACUCCGCCGGCACUCACCCGUGGAAUCCGAAGCGCGGCAAACUGCACUACCGCCCGGUCACGCUCCGCAACGGAAAGGUGACUCCAACACUCACGACCAUCUCUAGCGGCGCUGCCGUAGAAACGCCUCCGACACCACCGACCCCUCAGCCGGUGGCCAUCAACGACUGCGCCUUCGAGCUGCAGACGAUGGGCGGCGUGCUGCACUACACCUCUCUGGGCAUCGGGCUCAGCACUUCCACGAAGCUUAUUCAGACGGACGAGAUGUUCGUUUUUGUUCUCUGCACGCCCGACGAUUUGCACUUUCCGAGUGGGCAGUGCUCCGCCUACACGCAGCUGAACCUGAAAGAGAAGUACGAGUCCCGCAUCGAGUCCGACAGCAGCGUGCGCGCAAGCUUGAACGUGCAGAUCGACGGCGAGCCAAUGCCGCCUAUCACCGAGUCGACGAUCAUCCACGUACGCCCGCAGCCAGGGACGCGGGUGCUUAUCCGCUGCCGCAGCGCCAGCGUCGUUCAGUGAGGCCCGUGGAGCAGAAGGACGGGCAUUGAGGACGCGUUACGCGAUGUCGAACGAACCCAUUCUCCUCGUCUCUUGCGACUCAACACUGCGAAGCUCGGCUUGUGUGUGUAUGUGUGUGUGUGUGUGUGUGUAGUAUCGACACCAGAAAAAGAAGCACAAGAGAAGGAGACGCCGUGCGCGCUUCAAGCUCG
This 3170-nucleotide unclassified non-coding RNA is filed under the name Leishmania donovani. RNAcentral describes it as "gene:LdHU3.16.1630(CDS-product:diacylglycerol_kin ase_putative)". Lineage: Eukaryota; Euglenozoa; Kinetoplastea; Trypanosomatida; Trypanosomatidae. The record is from RNAcentral.